AAUAGAUACCCGGGUAGUCCACGCCGUAAACGAUGUCGACUUGGAGGUUGUUCCCUUGAGGAGUGGCUUCCGGAGCUAACGCGUUAAGUCGACCGCCUGGGGAGUACGGCCGCAAGGUUAAAACUCAAAUGAAUUGACGGGGGCCCGCACAAGCGGUGGAGCAUGUGGUUUAAUUCGAUGCAACGCGAAGAACCUUACCUACUCUUGACAUCCAGAGAACUUAGCAGAGAUGCUUUGGUGCCUUCGGGAACUCUGAGACAGGUGCUGCAUGGCUGUCGUCAGCUCGUGUUGUGAAAUGUUGGGUUAAGUCCCGCAACGAGCGCAACCCUUAUCCUUUGUUGCCAGCGGUCCGGCCGGGAACUCAAAGGAGACUGCCAGUGAUAAACUGGAGGAAGGUGGGGAUGACGUCAAGUCAUCAUGGCCCUUACGAGUAGGGCUACACACGUGCUACAAUGGCGUAUACAAAGAGAAGCGACCUCGCGAGAGCAAGCGGACCUCAUAAAGUACGUCGUAGUCCGGAUUGGAGU
This 527-nucleotide ribosomal RNA is filed under the name uncultured bacterium. Its description in RNAcentral is "bacterial SSU rRNA". It matches the Rfam family "Bacterial small subunit ribosomal RNA", at positions 777 to 1304 of the family's 1533-position model. The record is from RNAcentral.